RNAcentral lists this transfer RNA (64 nucleotides) under bovine gut metagenome. It matches the Rfam family "tRNA", at positions 5 to 66 of the family's 71-position model. Rfam says of the family: Transfer RNA (tRNA) molecules are approximately 80 nucleotides in length. Their secondary structure includes four short double-helical elements and three loops (D, anti-codon, and T loops). The record is from RNAcentral.
GGUAUAGUUCAGUGGUAGAGCGUCAGAUUGUGGCUCUGAAUGGCGUGGGUUCGAGUCCCACUAC